AAGUGAGGUAAUUCACUCCUAGGUAUAAAUAGGUCAGAUAUAGCCUCUCCAGUUCACUUACCAUCCAGGAGAGGAGGCUGACACACAUCCAGAACCUUUUAGUCUGCUUUCCUCACUGGACAUUUUGUUUGGUGUUAUUGGCUUGACUUUAAAAUCCCUUGUGAACUUUCAUUAAUCUUGGAGGACACAAUCUAAUUGGUCAUUUGCCCCAUAAUUAAAUAAAGUACCUACAAGGAACCACAAUUAAGGAGCAGCUGAUUAGAAGUUCACGAGAGUUUCUAGUAUCAUUAUAGAUAUAUAUCACGUUUUAUCACUCUUCACAGUGAGAUCAUCUUGUAGGAAAUUUGCUAAAGCAUUAUUCCACUGUGACUUGUACCCCUGAUGAAGUCCAUAAUGGACGAAACGCGUUGGGUUUUAUGAGAUAUAUAUAGCAUACACUGUUUCUGCAUAAAUGUGUAUUGUGCUUAUGGAACAACGUGUAUGACAAAUUUUAACGUGUAUUAAAAAUAAUCUUUCUAUCAUUCCGGUUAUGCUGGUUGGAUUUUACUUUGAGUAAUUAUUUCAAUUUUAAUUAUGCCAUUGUA
This is a long non-coding RNA of Pseudophryne corroboree (corroboree frog), 584 nucleotides long. RefSeq lists it as uncharacterized. The record is from RefSeq and is a predicted model, not a curated record. Lineage: Eukaryota; Metazoa; Chordata; Amphibia; Anura; Myobatrachidae. The transcript is spliced from 6 exons.